This is a small nuclear RNA of Phacochoerus africanus (Common warthog), 104 nucleotides long. Lineage: Eukaryota; Metazoa; Chordata; Mammalia; Artiodactyla; Suidae. The record is from RefSeq and is a predicted model, not a curated record.
GUGCUCGCUUCGGCAGCACAUAUCCUAAAAUUGGAACGAUGAAGAGAUUACCAUGGCCCUUGCGCAAGGAUGACAUGCAAAUUCGUGAAGCAUUCCUUAUUUUU